Molecule: long non-coding RNA, 1031 nt
Filed under: Homo sapiens (human)
Lineage: Eukaryota; Metazoa; Chordata; Mammalia; Primates; Hominidae
Description: HSALNT0313289
Source: RNAcentral
GUAAUCAAGCAUCAGAGGAGCCUGAGCGUAAUGUUAAUGUUCUGAGUGCUUCUGAAGUGACAGGAAGUGGUGCAUAUGCCCAGGGACAAAGCCAAGUUGAGGAGCAGAACCACAGUAGCUUGAGGAAGGAAUAGGUGAGAGUAGUGAUCCACCUGCCUCGGCCUCCCAAAGUGCUGGGAUUACAGGCGUGAGCCACCGCGUCCAGCCAAUUGGUGGGUUCCUGGUCUCACUGACUUCAAGAAUGAAGCCACGGACCCUCGCAAUGCUGUUACGAACUUCCCUUAGAAUCAACCCAUUUGUGAAACACCACAUUAAUAAGAGCAGUAUCUUUGGAGAUUGGAGAGUCCACCAAGGAUGCCCACUGGCUCCCUACAAAGUUUUUUAUGUGAGGACUCGGUCUCAGAUAUGGCUACUGGGAUUCUGUUCAAACUGAGUGAAGACAUCAUCAUCUUUCUUUGAGAUCUUCCUUGCUUUCUGGCCAAAGAAGUUAUUCCCUGACCCGACUUUCCAAAGAGUACUAGUUCCUUUUAGCAGUGAUUAGAAACCUGAUCUGAGUACUACUGUGUGUGCUUGUGACUAGUGUGGUUUUAUUGUUUCUAUGUCCUUUCAGCGAGCAGAUCUACAAUGAGGGAUACAUCUAAACAAAACUCCAUAUUAAUAAGUCCAGUUGAAAUCUAACAACAUAGGGUUCUUUCGCAUUCUCUUGCAUUCCAUAUUUGUAUAUUCGUUCACCCAUGGUGGCAACCCUGGCUAUUAGAAAUAUAAUUGUAUUUAUUUUGCUGUAUCCUACAAUAAAACAAAAAAAUUAAGAAUUACUAUACCAACAUCAUGAUAAAAAUACACAUACUAAGUAAAUCUGUUAUGUAAACUACAAGUGUGUUUGUAGCAUUUUUGUUUUUACACUAUAGCCUACUAAGUGUGCAAUUAGACUUCUUGCUCACUGGUUUCUGUUUACUUUUAAUUUUAGUAUUUACUCUUGUUUCCCUUCCUUUUUAAUUUUAUUUUUAAAAUUUAUAUAAGAUUUAUACUUU